Molecule: ribosomal RNA, 147 nt
Filed under: Longibaculum muris
Lineage: Bacteria; Bacillati; Bacillota; Erysipelotrichia; Erysipelotrichales; Coprobacillaceae
Source: RNAcentral
UCUGGUGGCGAUAGCAUGAUGGAAACACCUGUACCCAUGCCGAACACAGAAGUUAAGCAUCAUAACGGCGAAGAUAGUGAGCGAUUGCGACAAUAGCAAGCUGCCAGUUCUCCUGAGGGAUAUCAUCCGAUAUCUCUCUUUUUUUGU